Cyprinus carpio carpio is the source of this 2305-nucleotide long non-coding RNA. NCBI's taxonomy places the organism in Eukaryota, Metazoa, Chordata, Actinopteri, Cypriniformes, Cyprinidae. The record is from Ensembl.
AUGGUAAUUCCUUUGUUAACGUCUCGUUUCUUCGGGGACAGUAUUGUUUGUAUCAGUUAUGGAACAGCCAAAAAUCAUCAUGAUUACACACACACACACACACACACACACACACACACACACACACACACACACACACAUAUAAUUUUUAAACAACAGGUCAGUAAACUAGUUAAUUAAGAGACUUGCGUUUUAGACACCAUAUUGCCUGUUUUUGCUCAAUUUGUACAACAAAAAAUAAUUCCAAACACAGCCACCAAAGUGGGGAAGUCGUGGCCUAAUGGUUAGUGAGUUGGACUCCCAAUCGAAGGGUUGUGAGUUCGAGUCUCGGGCCGGCAGGAAUUGUGGGUGGGGGGAGUGCAUGUACAGUUCUCUCUCCACCUUCAAUACCAUGACUUAGGUGCCCUUGAGCAAGGCAUCGAACCCCCAACUGCUCCCCGGGCGCCGCAGCAUAAAAAUGGCUGCCCACUGCUCCGGGUGUGUGUUCACAGUGUGUGUGUGUGUUCACUGCUCUGUGUGUGUGCACUUCGGAUGGGUUAAAUGCAGAGCACGAAUUCUGAGUAUGGGUCACCAUACUUGGCUGAAUGUCACGUCACUUCACUUUCAAAGCACAGUUUUGCGUUUCUGAGCAACCUGACUGUUUCAUUACUGAAUGAAUCAACUGUUUAAAUGAUUCGGUUAAAACGCAAUGACUCACUUAUUAACAGUGACUUGCUGACACAUACUGGCCAUUUUAAUUUCACAUUUAAAGUAUCUUUUGAUUUUUUUUUUGUAAUAAUUAAUUUUUUAUAAUUUCAAAUGAGUAUUCAACAUUUUAUGUCUUGUAUAUCAAAACAUUAUUCAUGCAUUUGUAACUGCAGGUUAAAUGCAUUGUCCUGCACUAAACAGUGUGUAAAUACAUCUAAAUGCCACUUCCGAUGAAGCUUCUGCAUUUCCUCUGCAUUGAAAAGAUGAGUUUGUUGAUACUGAUUUCCCUGUUAACAGCCUAAAUGUCUUAUUAUUCUAAACAACUGAUUCCUUUAAUUAAAAACAACUAGUUUGAGAUUAAUAGGCCUAUCCCAGGGGUGUCAAACUCAGUUACUGGAGGGCCGUAGCCCUGCAGAGUUUAGUUCUAACCCUGCUCCAGCACACAUAUCAUGUAGUUUUCAAAUAAGCCUAAAUGAUUAGAUUAGCUGGAUCAUAUGUGUUUAAUUAGGGUUAUAUCUAAACUGUGCAGGACUGUGGCCCUCCAGGAACUGAGUUUGACACCCUUGCCUGUCACAUUUUUACCUCCCUUCCACUGUUAAAAUGUAACUAAGUAAUUUUUACUCUGAGUAAAUUUUAAAUGAGCUACUUUUUACUUUUACUUGAGUAGAUUUUUAGACUGGUACUUUUACUUGUACUUAAGUAAAAUUUCAUUAAUGUAAUGGUACUUUUACUUGAUUAGAAUAUUUUUGUACUCUUUCCACCUCUGCGUUUAUCUAUACUUUAUAUACCACAAAUAUGUAUAUUAAGAUAGCUUGUUACAAUACGAUCAUAUUUUUCCUUUGCGUUAUAUCUUGCAGCUUUAGUAAUUAGUUUAUUGUUGUUGACAGACAUAUGUACAAUGAGACAAAACGAUGACCGCGUAUGCAUCGAAGGUGAAGACCUCAGAGUUGGUAGUUUGUAAGUCUGAGGUAUCGGCGUCCUUUUUGUGCAAUACAGUACAGAAUACAUCCUGUAAGUAUGAUAAUUAUUACCACCUCUCCUAUUACUACUGAAGAUCAAUUUACAAUCUAUGAAGACGAUUAGACCAAAAAAAAAAAAAAACUAAUUUAGAGUUUGUUUCUACCUUUCUGCUAGGUAUCCAACUAAUGCAGAGUAUAUUAAAGUUGGAAAUUGCAUUGUUUUUAAUCCAUUGAUUUAUCUCUAUCAACAUAAUCACACACGAUAUUGUAGUAACAAUAUAUUGUAAUCUUUAUUUGCUGGAAAAUGACAAUCAGUCAAAUUUGUGUUUUAAGCACACCUGACACAUCCCUAAACCGGAAAUUUAAAGCAGAACGUGCACCACUUGCAGGUUAUUGUAGCAUAUGUAAGCACACUGCCAUAUGCAUAAUUUAUUUUUGCACUGUUAAUAAAUUUUACAUUUUCACUUAGUGCAGGUCAAUGUAAGGAAGAUACUGUACUACAGAUAUUUAAAUCUUUUUUUGUAUAUACUCCACUUUUUCACUGCCUGACCAUCAUCUUAAUGUUAAUGCAGUUCAAUGUUUUUAUUAUUUUUUUAUUUCUAAAGCACCUUGUUCAAUAAGUAUUUAGAUGUUUCGCAUAUCUGUCAUGGUCUAAGCAU